UACGGAGGAUGCAAGCGUUAUCCGGAUUGAUUGGGCGUAAAGCGUCUGUAGGUGGUUACGCUAGUCGGCUGUUAAAGAUCAGGGCUGAACCCUGAGCAAGCAGUCGAAACUGCGUGGCUGGAGUACGGUAGGGGCAGAGGGAAUUCCCGGUGUAGCGGUGAAAUGCGUAGAUAUCAGGAGGAACCCCUGUGGUGUAGACAGCUUACUGGACCAUUUCUGACGCUGAGACACGAAAGCGUGGGUAGCAAACAGG
Molecule: ribosomal RNA, 253 nt
Filed under: uncultured bacterium
Lineage: Bacteria
Description: partial 16S ribosomal RNA
Rfam family: Bacterial small subunit ribosomal RNA
Source: RNAcentral